This 484-nucleotide ribosomal RNA is filed under the name uncultured bacterium. RNAcentral describes it as "partial 16S ribosomal RNA". It matches the Rfam family "Bacterial small subunit ribosomal RNA", at positions 28 to 507 of the family's 1533-position model. The record is from RNAcentral.
AUUGAACGCUGGCGGCAUGCUUUACACAUGCAAGUCGAACGGCAGCGCGGGCUUCGGCCUGGCGGCGAGUGGCGAACGGGUGAGUAAUGCAUCGGAACGUGCCCAGUAGUGGGGGAUAGCCCGGCGAAAGCCGGAUUAAUACCGCAUACGACCUGAGGGUGAAAGCGGGGGACCGAAAGGCCUCGCGCUAUUGGAGCGGCCGAUGUCGGAUUAGCUAGUGGGUGGGGUAAAGGCUUACCAAGGCGACGAUCCGUAGCUGGUCUGAGAGGACGACCAGCCACUCUGGGACUGAGACACGGCCCAGACUCCUACGGGAGGCAGCAGUGGGGAAUUUUGGACAAUGGGGGCAACCCUGAUCCAGCCAUGCCGCGUGCGGGAAGAAGGCCUUCGGGUUGUAAACCGCUUUUGUUCGGGAAGAAAUCCUCUGGGCUAAUACCCCGGGGGGAUGACGGUACCGGAAGAAUAAGCACCGGCUAACUACGUG